Molecule: ribosomal RNA, 548 nt
Filed under: uncultured Bifidobacterium sp.
Lineage: Bacteria; Bacillati; Actinomycetota; Actinomycetes; Bifidobacteriales; Bifidobacteriaceae
Description: bacterial SSU rRNA
Rfam family: Bacterial small subunit ribosomal RNA
Source: RNAcentral
CUCCUGGAAACGGGUGGUAAUGCCGGAUGUUCCAGUUGAUCGCAUGGUCUUCUGGGAAAGCUUUCGCGGUAUGGGAUGGGGUCGCGUCCUAUCAGCUUGACGGCGGGGUAACGGCCCACCGUGGCUUCGACGGGUAGCCGGCCUGAGAGGGCGACCGGCCACAUUGGGACUGAGAUACGGCCCAGACUCCUACGGGAGGCAGCAGUGGGGAAUAUUGCACAAUGGGCGCAAGCCUGAUGCAGCGACGCCGCGUGAGGGAUGGAGGCCUUCGGGUUGUAAACCUCUUUUAUCGGGUAGCAAGCGUGAGUGAGUUUACCCGUUGAAUAAGCACCGGCUAACUACGUGCCAGCAGCCGCGGUAAUACGUAGGGUGCAAGCGUUAUCCGGAAUUAUUGGGCGUAAAGGGCUCGUAGGCGGUUCGUCGCGUCCGGUGUGAAAGUCCAUCGCUUAACGGUGGAUCCGCGCCGGGUACGGGCGGGCUUGAGUGCGGUAGGGGAGACUGGAAUUCCCGGUGUAACGGUGGAAUGUGUAGAUAUCGGGAAGAACACC